AAUGUAUAUGAAUGUGUGUAUAUUAAAGGAGUAAAGAGAAAAGGAAGAAUGCUAAUAUGCUGAGGGUGUCUGGAUGCAGUGAUAAACGUUCCCGGGCGCCCCCAUAAGGCGUAGAGUUACCGUGGAGCGUGGAAAUGAUCUACAAAUAACGUUACGAUAUAACGAUUUUCUUCUGCUGAUGCUUGUCCUUCAUCAUCGCCAAAUUCUCUAUUAAUGUCAAGAGGCAUUCAAUGGCAAGUACGUCAUCUUCUGGAUAUUCGGAGGUUUCUGCAUCAUUAGUAUUCUUUUCGUAGUAUUGUUGUUGCCCGAAACGCAAGAUCUCCAGCAAAUUCAGGACGAACUGAUUGUGAGUGGAGUGACUUCGAUUAUAAACGUCAAGAACGGGACGAAGAAGUGAGGAAGGAACACUUUCGUUCGAUUAUCCUGAUGACGAACGGUGUAUGCUGAACAUCUGAUAAAUUUGCAGGAUACUUUGAAGAGAUUAGAUAUUUAUAAAAGAUAUACGUAGGAUAUAGUUUUUAUAACAUAUCUAGAAAUUUGAUAUCAUUGAGCGGAGAAGAAUCAAGUAGAGUAUCUGAAAUACGGAUAAUAUAUAAUAUUUUACUGACAAAUUUAUAAAAAUAUAUAAUAUGGGCAAAGAGAAAAUAUUUUUGAGCUUGGACCACCGUUCAGCCUCUUGUUGCUUGGAUCACAAAGAAA
Temnothorax curvispinosus is the source of this 699-nucleotide long non-coding RNA. RefSeq lists it as uncharacterized. Lineage: Eukaryota; Metazoa; Arthropoda; Insecta; Hymenoptera; Formicidae. The transcript is spliced from 3 exons. The record is from RefSeq and is a predicted model, not a curated record.